RNAcentral lists this non-coding RNA (37 nucleotides) under Planktothrix rubescens. The record is from RNAcentral. Lineage: Bacteria; Bacillati; Cyanobacteriota; Cyanophyceae; Oscillatoriales; Microcoleaceae. RNAcentral also lists the same sequence under 1 other name.
GUUGAAAUCACCUAUAAUCCCUUUCAGGGAUUGAAAC